AUUGAACGCUGGCGGCAGGCCUAACACAUGCAAGUCGAACGGUAACAGGAAACCGCUUGCUGUUUCGCUGAGGAGUGGCGGGCGAGUGGGCCAUGUCUGGGAAACUGCCUGAUGGAGGGGGUUACCUACCGGGAACGGUUGCUAAUACCGCAUAACGUCCCAAGGCCAAAGAGGCGGACCUUCUGUCCUUUUGUCUUAAGCUGAGCCCAGAUGGGGUUAGCUAGUAGGAGGGGUAACGGCAGGCCUAGGCGGUGAGCUUUAACUGGUAUGAGAGGAUGACUCGCCACACUGUAACUGAGACUGGGCCCAGACUCUGACGGGAGGAAGCAGUGGGGAAUAUUGCACAAUGGGCGAAAGCGUGAUACUGCAAUGCCGCGUGUAUGAAGAAGGAGUUCGGGUUGUAAAGUACUUUCAGCGGGGAGGAAGGGAAUAAAGUUAAUACCUUGGCUUAUUGACGUUACCCGCAGAAUAAGCACCGGCUAACUCCGUG
RNAcentral lists this ribosomal RNA (490 nucleotides) under uncultured bacterium. RNAcentral describes it as "partial 16S ribosomal RNA". It matches the Rfam family "Bacterial small subunit ribosomal RNA", at positions 30 to 507 of the family's 1533-position model. The record is from RNAcentral.